UUUUCUCUCCUUCUCCAAGAUGGCGGCGAUCGGCGGCGCUAAGGCGGGAUCCGGGCGAGCCGAGUGAAGAGCUUUGUUGAACUAGCUGUUGCCGCAAAACUGCCGGGAGAAUCUCACUGGUUUGCCGUGGGGACCACAAAAAUGGUGGUCCUGGGGGCUGUUUGUGUAAAUCACCUGGUAUUUUGUGUAUUCCUUGCGUGCAACCCGGCUUGGCCGUGCCUUCGUGGUGGGCGCCUUCUCUAUGCAGGCCCAUUUUCCCUCCACCAACUACUACUUGUAGAUUCACUUUAUAGCGUACAAAAGCGGAGAAACAUCUCUGUCCCCUCUUUCUGAGGGUAAGCUGGUGGCUGAUUAUAUUUCCUCCUAAUAGAACAAAGUAAAAAACUGAAUCCCAAAUAAAGCCUGUUGAUUGGACAAGGCUUGUCAAAAUUUCGAUUGCUGGUCUGAUGGAAUGUGUGUUGUCAGCCAAUCUGUGCGGUGGUCGUGGUUCCGCUUAAUUGCACUGCAAUGAGAGGAUUCAAUCCCCGUCCCAGACUGUCGGGAUCUCUGCAGCUUCCAGAGCUGGCAGGGGCUGG
RNAcentral lists this small RNA (575 nucleotides) under Pongo abelii (Sumatran orangutan). RNAcentral describes it as "processed transcript". The record is from RNAcentral. Lineage: Eukaryota; Metazoa; Chordata; Mammalia; Primates; Hominidae.